UGAUGGUCACUGAAAUAGACUUGGAGAGGACAAUGGCUCGUCUUGAAUUGGCUGAGAGGUAUUUUAGUCCGGGAACCGCUGCGUGGGCAAAGUGUAGCAGUGGUGGCGCAUACGGCUAAUACUGGCGAUUAGGUUUUAAGAACAAACAAAAACUUGGAAUUAUCUUGUGAUAAAUUUGAAGAACAGGCAAAUGAAUAUAAAAAGUCAGUUCAUUGGAACUGAUUUAGACAACUGACGAUAGCUACAAACGAACAUUCGAACGUCCAAUACAGAAUAAAAACAUUGGAAGCUCACUCAAAUGAGGCAUAUAACAAGGAAGAAGAAUACGAGGCUACAAUCAAGAAACUGAGAGAAGAUUUGUAUGAGGUAAUGUGCAGCUUUGCUAUGCGGCAUAAUUUGUCGAGUUUAAUGGAAUUUAAGAGCGAGACAAGGGCAGCAGAGUUCGAUAGGGUGUCCAAUAAGCGUCAGCAAGACAUCGAUAGACUAGAAGAAGAACUCAUGUCCGAGAAAAGAAUAUACAAAGAAAUAAGCGCCAAUAUUGAUUUAGCAUACGCAGAACUUGGAGGAUUCUGACUGAAACUAAUUUUCUAACAUAACUUCUAAUCUAAUUUUUAACAGUUUUU
Long non-coding RNA from Octopus sinensis (East Asian common octopus), 623 nucleotides. RefSeq lists it as uncharacterized. Lineage: Eukaryota; Metazoa; Mollusca; Cephalopoda; Octopoda; Octopodidae. The record is from RefSeq and is a predicted model, not a curated record. The transcript has 3 exons.